GUGGGGAAUAUUGCACAAUGGGGGAAACCCUGAUGCAGCGACGCCGCGUGAAGGAAGAAGUAUCUCGGUAUGUAAACUUCUAUCAGCAGGGAAGAAGAAUGACGGUACCUGACUAAGAAGCCCCGGCUAACUACGUGCCAGCAGCCGCGGUAAUACGUAGGGGGCAAGCGUUAUCCGGAUUUACUGGGUGUAAAGGGAGCGUAGGCGGCGAUGCAAGUCAGAAGUGAAAGCCCAGGGCUUAACCGUGGGACUGCUUUUGAAACUGUGUUGCUGGAUUGCCGGAGAGGUAAGUGGAAUUCCUAGUGUAGCGGUGAAAUGCGUAGAUAUUAGGAGGAACACCAGUGGCGAAGGCGGCUUACUGGACGGUGAAUGACGCUGAGGCUCGAAAGCGUGGGGAGCAAACAGGA
RNAcentral lists this ribosomal RNA (407 nucleotides) under uncultured bacterium. Its description in RNAcentral is "bacterial SSU rRNA". It matches the Rfam family "Bacterial small subunit ribosomal RNA", at positions 354 to 777 of the family's 1533-position model. The record is from RNAcentral.